This 254-nucleotide ribosomal RNA is filed under the name uncultured bacterium. RNAcentral describes it as "partial 16S ribosomal RNA". It matches the Rfam family "Bacterial small subunit ribosomal RNA", at positions 524 to 776 of the family's 1533-position model. The record is from RNAcentral.
UACAGAGGGUGCAAGCGUUAAUCGGAAUUACUGGGCGUAAAGCGCGCGUAGGUGGUUUGUUAAGUUGAAUGUGAAAUCCCCGGGCUCAACCUGGGAACUGCAUGCAAAACUGGCAAGCUAGAGUAUGGUAGAGGGUGGUGGAAUUUCCUGUGUAGCGGUGAAAUGCGUAGAUAAUAGGAAGGAACACCAGUGGCGAAGGCGACCACCUGGACUGAUACUGACACUGAGGUGCGAAAGCGUGGGGAGCAAACAGG